UACGUAGGUGGCAAGCGUUGUCCGGAUUUACUGGGCGUAAAGGGCGCGUAGGCGGAUGUUUAAGUCGGGGGUGAAAGCCCGGGGCUCAACCCCGGAAUUGCCUUCGAUACUGGACAUCUUGAGUACGGGAGAGGUGAGUGGAACUCCGAGUGUAGAGGUGAAAUUCGUAGAUAUUCGGAAGAACACCAGUGGCGAAGGCGACUCACUGGCCCGUUACUGACGCUGAGGCGCGAAAGCGUGGGGAGCAAACAGG
Molecule: ribosomal RNA, 253 nt
Filed under: uncultured bacterium
Lineage: Bacteria
Description: partial 16S ribosomal RNA
Rfam family: Bacterial small subunit ribosomal RNA
Source: RNAcentral